This 468-nucleotide ribosomal RNA is filed under the name uncultured bacterium. RNAcentral describes it as "partial 16S ribosomal RNA". It matches the Rfam family "Bacterial small subunit ribosomal RNA", at positions 28 to 507 of the family's 1533-position model. The record is from RNAcentral.
GACGAACGCUGGCGGCGUGCUUAACACAUGCAAGUCGAACGGAAAGGCCCUGCUUUUGUGGGGUGCUCGAGUGGCGAGCGGGUGAGUAACACGUGAGUAACCUGCCCUUGACUUUGGGAUAACUUCAGGAAACUGGGGCUAAUACCGGAUAGGAGCUCCUGCUGCAUGGUGGGGGUUGGAAAGUUUCGGCGGUUGGGGAUGGACUCGCGGCUUAUCAGCUUGUUGGUGGGGUAGUGGCUUACCAGGGCUUUGACGGGUAGCCGGCCUGAGAGGGUGACCGGCCACAUUGGGACUGAGAUACGGCCCAGACUCCUACGGGAGGCAGCAGUGGGGAAUAUUGCACAAUGGGCGGAAGCCUGAUGCAGCAACGCCGCGUGCGGGAUGACGGCCUUCGGGUUGUAAACCGCUUUCGCCUGUGACGAAGCGUGAGUGACGGUAAUGGGUAAAGAAGCACCGGCUAACUACGUG